GCCGUUGUAGCUCAGGCAGUAGAGCAACGCCAUGGUAAGGCGUAGGUCGACAGUGCAAAUCUGUCCAACGGCUCCG
RNAcentral lists this transfer RNA (76 nucleotides) under Candidatus Nomurabacteria bacterium RIFCSPLOWO2_01_FULL_39_17. Its description in RNAcentral is "tRNA-Thr". It matches the Rfam family "tRNA". Rfam says of the family: Transfer RNA (tRNA) molecules are approximately 80 nucleotides in length. Their secondary structure includes four short double-helical elements and three loops (D, anti-codon, and T loops). The record is from RNAcentral. Lineage: Bacteria; Candidatus Nomuraibacteriota.